RNAcentral lists this ribosomal RNA (362 nucleotides) under uncultured Methanosaeta sp. RNAcentral's name for it is "bacterial SSU rRNA". It matches the Rfam family "Archaeal small subunit ribosomal RNA", at positions 979 to 1338 of the family's 1478-position model. The record is from RNAcentral. Lineage: Archaea; Methanobacteriati; Methanobacteriota; Methanomicrobia; Methanotrichales; Methanotrichaceae.
CGUGAGAGGUGGUGCAUGGCCGUCGUCAGUUCGUACUGUGAAGCAUCCUCGUUAAGUCAGGCAACGAGCGAGACCACGCCCACAGUUGCCAGCGUACUCUCUCGGAGUGACGGGUACACUGUGGGGACCGCCGCUGCUAAAGCGGAGGAAGGAAUGGGCAACGGUAGGUCAGUAUGCCCCCGAAUAUCCCGGGCUACACGCGAGCUACAAUGGUUGGUACAAUGGGUAUCUACCCCGAAAGGGGACGGGAAUCUCCUAAAACCAAUCUUAGUUCGGAUUGAGGGCUGCAACUCGCCCUCAUGAAGCUGGAAUCCGUAGUAAUCGCGUUUCAACAGAACGCGGUGAAUACGUCCCUGCUCCUU